Molecule: RNA transcript, 1324 nt
Organism: Homo sapiens (human)
Lineage: Eukaryota; Metazoa; Chordata; Mammalia; Primates; Hominidae
Gene: AKR7A2P1
Gene name: AKR7A2 pseudogene 1
Exons: 1
Source: RefSeq, marked validated
AACUCCAGGGAGCUGAUGCUUCCAACCACUGCACGUUGCUCCCGGGCUGUCGCAGUCUCCUGUUGCCGCCAUCAUGUCCCGGCCCUCCACGGUGUUGGGUGCCAUGGAGAUGGGGCGCCGUAGUCACCCGCGCCUUCCUGGAGCACGGCCACACCAAGAUAGACACGGCCUUCGUGUACAGCGACAGCCAGUCCAAGACCAUCCUGGGUGGCCUGAAAAUUGAUACCAAGGCCAAUCCAUUGUUUGGGAACUCCCUGAAACCUGACAGUCUCCGGUUCCAGCUGGAGACGUCACUGAAGUGGCUGCAGUGUCCCCGAGUGGACCUCUUCUACCUGCUCAGGCCAGACCACAGCACCCCGGUGGAAGAGACACUGAGUGCCUGCCACCAGCUGCACCAGGAGGGCAAGUUCCUGGAUCUUGGCCUCUCCAACUAUGCCACCUGGGAAGUGGCCAAGAUCUGUAACCUCUGCAAGAGCAAUGGCUGGACCCUGCCCACUGUGUACCAGGGCAUGUACAACGCCACCACCCAGCAGGUGAAAACGGAGCUCUUCCCCUGCCUCAGGCACUCUGGACUGAGGUUCUAUGCCUUCAACCCUCUGGCUGGGGACCUGCUGACUGGCAAGUACAAGUAUAAGGACAAGGACAGGAAACAGCCCAUGGGCCGCUUCUUUGGGACUCAAUGGGCAGAGAUCUACAGGAAUCGCUUCUGGAAGAAGCACCACUUCGAUGGCAUUGCCCUGGUAGAGAAGGCCCUGCAGGCCGCGUAUGGCGCCAGCGCCCCCAGCAUGACCUCGGCUGCCCUCUGGUGGAUGUACCACCACUCACAGCUGCAGGGUGCCCACGGGGACGCAGUCAUCCUGGGCAUGUCCAGCUUGGAGCAGUUGGAGCAGAACUUGGCAGCGGCAGAGGAAGGGCCCCUGGAGCCAGAUGUUGUGGAGGCCUUUAAUCAAGCCUGGCAAUUGGUUGCUCACGAAUGUCCCAACUACUUCCACUAGGCCCAUCGUUUCUCAGGUUGCCCAAGGCUCUUCUGUAACCUCUUUUGUUUCUCACACUUUCUUUAAUUUAGAAGUGCCUCAGUAAAUUCUUAGGGAUGGAAGUAUUUGGACAAAAACCUAACAGUAAAGUCACCACCAAAUGAAGAAUGAAACCUCCUGGGGUGCUGUGUGUUAGUCUGUUUGCAUUGCUAUAAAAGAAUACCUGAGACCGGGUCAUUUAUAAAGAAAACAAACAAACAAAAACAACAACAACAAAAAAAAGAAAAAAGACAAAAAUGCAUGAUCAUUUUUUCCAAGUUUAAGUAGUGUUGCAAUUAGGUAAUCUUGAU